CAGUCGCCGCGGUAAUACGAAGGGUGCAAGCGUUACUCGGAAUUAUUGGGCGUAAAGGGCUCGCAGGCGGUUUCUUAAGUCUGAUGUGAAAGCCCCCGGCUCAACCGGGGAGGGUCAUUGGGAACUGGGAAACUUGAGUGCAGAAGAGGAGAGUGGAAUUCCACGUGUAGCGGUGAAAUGCGUAGAGAUGUGGAGGAACACCAGUGGCGAAGGCGACUCUCUGGUCUGCAACUGACGCUGAGGAGCGAAAGCGUGGGGAGCGAACAGGAUUAGAUACCCCAGUAGUCCCUGUCUCUUAUAC
RNAcentral lists this ribosomal RNA (301 nucleotides) under uncultured bacterium. RNAcentral describes it as "partial 16S ribosomal RNA". It matches the Rfam family "Bacterial small subunit ribosomal RNA", at positions 509 to 807 of the family's 1533-position model. The record is from RNAcentral.